AGAGUUUGAUCCUGGCUCAGAUUGAACGCUGGCGGCGUGCUUAACACAUGCAAGUCGUGCGAGAAAGGGGGCUUCGGUCCCUGAGUAGAGCGGCGCACGGGUGAGUAGCGCGUGGAUAAUCUCCCCAGAAGUUCGGGAUAACGGCGGGAAACUGCCGCUAAUACCGGAUACGCUCCAAUUUCGGUUGGGGGAAAGGCGGCCUCUGUUUACAAGCUGUCGCUUCUGGAUGAGUCCGCGUCCCAUUAGCUUGUUGGUGGGGUAAUGGCCUACUAAGGCUACGAUGGGUAGCUGGUCUGAGAGGAUGAUCAGCCACACUGGAACUGAAACACGGUCCAGACUCCUACGGGAGGCAGCAGUGGGGAAUAUUGCGCAAUGGGGGAAACCCUGACGCAGCGACGCCGUGUGAGGGAUGAAGGCUUUCGGGUCGUAAACCUCUGUCGGGAGGGAAGAACCUUCCAGGCC
RNAcentral lists this ribosomal RNA (462 nucleotides) under uncultured bacterium. RNAcentral describes it as "bacterial SSU rRNA". It matches the Rfam family "Bacterial small subunit ribosomal RNA", at positions 8 to 460 of the family's 1533-position model. The record is from RNAcentral.